CCAGACAGCCAGGAUGUUGGCUUAGAAGCAGCCAUCAUUUAAAGAAAGCGUAAUAGCUCACUGGUCGAGUCGGCCUGCGCGGAAGAUGUAACGGGGCUAAACCAUGCACCGAAGCUGCGGCAGCGACGCUUAUGCGUUGUUGGGUAGGGGAGCGUUCUGUAAGCCUGCGAAGGUGGCCUGUGAGGGUUGCUGGAGGUAUCAGAAGUGCGAAUGCUGACAUAAGUAACGAUAAAGCGGGUGAAAAGCCCGCUCGCCGGAAGACCAAGGGUUCCUGUCCAACGUUAAUCGGGGCAGGGUGAGUCGACCCCUAAGGCGAGGCCGAAAGGCGUAGUCGAUGGGAAACGGGUUAAUAUUCCCGUACUUGGUGUUACUGCGAAGGGGGGACGGAGAAGGCUAUGUUGGCCGGGCGACGGUUGUCCCGGUUUAAGCGUGUAGGUGUGUGUUCCAGGUAAAUCCGGUUCACUUUAACACUGAGGCGUGACGACGAGGCACUACGGUGCUGAAGCAACAAAUGCCCUGCUUCCAGGAAAAGCCUCUAAGCAUCAGGUAACAUCAAAUCGUACCCCAAACCGACACAGGUGGUCAGGUAGAGAAUACCAAGGCGCUUGAGAGAACUCGGGUGAAGGAACUAGGCAAAAUGGUGCCGUAACUUCGGGAGAAGGCACGCUGACACGUAGGUGAAGUGAUUUACUCAUGGAGCUGAAGUCAGUCGAAGAUACCAGCUGGCUGCAACUGUUUAUUAAAAACACAGCACUGUGCAAACACGAAAGUGGACGUAUACGGUGUGACGCCUGCCCGGUGCCGGAAGGUUAAUUGAUGGGGUCAGCGCAAGCGAAGCUCCUGAUCGAAGCCCCGGUAAACGGCGGCCGUAACUAUAACGGUCCUAAGGUAGCGAAAUUCCUUGUCGGGUAAGUUCCGACCUGCACGAAUGGCGUAAUGAUGGCCAGGCUGUCUCCACCCGAGACUCAGUGAAAUUGAACUCGCUGUGAAGAUGCAGUGUACCCGCGGCAAGACGGAAAGACCCCGUGAACCUUUACUAUAGCUUGACACUGAACAUUGAGCCUUGAUGUGUAGGAUAGGUGGGAGGCUUUGAAGUGUGGACGCCAGUCUGCAUGGAGCCGACCUUGAAAUACCACCCUUUAAUGUUUGAUGUUCUAACGUGGACCCGUUACCCGGGUUGCGGACAGUGUCUGGUGGGUAGUUUGACUGGGGCGGUCUCCUCCUAAAGAGUAACGGAGGAGCACGAAGGUUGGCUAAUCCUGGUCGGACAUCAGGAGGUUAGUGCAAUGGCAUAAGCCAGCUUGACUGCGAGCGUGACGGCGCGAGCAGGUGCGAAAGCAGGUCAUAGUGAUCCGGUGGUUCUGAAUGGAAGGGCCAUCGCUCAACGGAUAAAAGGUACUCCGGGGAUAACAGGCUGAUACCGCCCAAGAGUUCAUAUCGACGGCGGUGUUUGGCACCUCGAUGUCGGCUCAUCACAUCCUGGGGCUGAAGUAGGUCCCAAGGGUAUGGCUGUUCGCCAUUUAAAGUGGUACGCGAGCUGGGUUUAGAACGUCGUGAGACAGUUCGGUCCCUAUCUGCCGUGGGCGCUGGAGAACUGAGGGGGGCUGCUCCUAGUACGAGAGGACCGGAGUGGACGCAUCACUGGUGUUCGGGUUGUCAUGCCAAUGGCACUGCCCGGUAGCUAAAUGCGGAAGAGAUAAGUGCUGAAAGCAUCUAAGCACGAAACUUGCCCCGAG
This 1736-nucleotide ribosomal RNA is filed under the name Salmonella enterica. RNAcentral's name for it is "partial 23S ribosomal RNA". It matches the Rfam family "Bacterial large subunit ribosomal RNA", at positions 1085 to 2803 of the family's 2925-position model. The record is from RNAcentral. Lineage: Bacteria; Pseudomonadati; Pseudomonadota; Gammaproteobacteria; Enterobacterales; Enterobacteriaceae.